AUUGAACGCUGGCGGCAGGCCUAACACAUGCAAGUCGAGCGAGCGGCGGACGGGUGAGUAAUGUCUGGGAAACUGCCUGAUGGAGGGGGAUAACUACUGGAAACGGUAGCUAAUAUCGCACACCAUCAGAUGUGCCCCGAUGGGAUUAGCUAGGAGGUGGGGUAACGGCUCACCUAGGCGACGAUCCCCAGCUGGUCUGAGAGGAUGACCAGCCACACUGGAACUGAGACACGGUCCAGACUCCUACGGGAGGCAGCAGUGGGGAAUAUUGCACAAUGGGCGCAAGCCUGAUGCAGCCAUGCCGCGUGUAUGAAGAAGGCCUUCGGGUUGUAAAGCACUUUCAGCGGGGAGGCGUUACCCGCAGAAGAAGCACCGGCUAACUCCGUGCCAGCAGCCGCGGUAAUAC
This 406-nucleotide ribosomal RNA is filed under the name uncultured bacterium. RNAcentral describes it as "partial 16S ribosomal RNA". It matches the Rfam family "Bacterial small subunit ribosomal RNA", at positions 30 to 526 of the family's 1533-position model. The record is from RNAcentral.